RNAcentral lists this ribosomal RNA (468 nucleotides) under uncultured bacterium. RNAcentral describes it as "partial 16S ribosomal RNA". It matches the Rfam family "Bacterial small subunit ribosomal RNA", at positions 28 to 507 of the family's 1533-position model. The record is from RNAcentral.
GACGAACGCUGGCGGCGUGCUUAACACAUGCAAGUCGAACGGAAAGGCCCUGCUUUUGUGGGGUGCUCGAGUGGCGAACGGGUGAGUAACACGUGAGUAACCUGCCCUUGACUUUGGGAUAACUUCAGGAAACUGGGGCUAAUACCGGAUAGGCGCUCCUGCUGCAUGGUGGGGGUUGGAAAGUUUCGGCGGUUGGGGAUGGACCCGCGGCUUAUCAGCUUGUUGGUGGGGUAGCGGCUUACCAAGGCUUUGACGGGUAGCCGGCCUGAGAGGAUGACCGGCCACAUUGGGACUGAGAUGCGGCCCAGACUCAUACGGGAGGCAGCAGUGGGGAAUAUUGCACAAUGGGCGGAAGCCUGAUGCAGCAACGCCGCGUGCGGGAUGACGGCCUUCGGGUUGUAAACCGCUUUCGCCUGUGACGAAGCGUGAGUGACGGUAAUGGGUAAAGAAGCACCGGCUAACUACGUG